This is a long non-coding RNA of Oncorhynchus tshawytscha (Chinook salmon), 323 nucleotides long. NCBI's taxonomy places the organism in Eukaryota, Metazoa, Chordata, Actinopteri, Salmoniformes, Salmonidae. The record is from Ensembl.
UAUUGGUUAAAUCAAAAUACCCUCCUGCUAUUGGUGAAGGUCUAUCAGAAUCUGCGUCAACACUGGACAUACCACAACUACUAUCAUUGGAUUUUUGGGCCUAUUAUAUUUUCAAGCUUAUACUGAUAUUGCAGAAUUUGCUCGUCCAUUUAAUAGAAGAAAACAUUGAAAGAUGCCAAAAUGUACCUCAGAGAAGAGAAAGCCAUCAGAGAAUACAGCCUCGAUAUUGGCAGGUGCAACAUAGAACUGAAAACUCAAAAUGGAGGACAGAGACAACAUGGAUACUAGUGAAGUUGCAAUACACUGCAGAUUGCUGAUUCACC